Molecule: long non-coding RNA, 9735 nt
Filed under: Triticum aestivum (bread wheat)
Lineage: Eukaryota; Viridiplantae; Streptophyta; Magnoliopsida; Poales; Poaceae
Description: long non-coding RNA (TAES_LNC014769)
Source: RNAcentral
AAAGAGUUGGCUUACAAUCGCCACUUCACACAAUACAUAAAUAUAGCAUUACAUCAUCCAGAAUACAAUCAAGGUCUGACUACGGAACCAACAUAAAUAAAGACAACCCCAAAUGCAUAGAUCCCCGAUCGUACCAACUGGGCUCCACUACUGAUCAACAAGAAAUGAAACAACACAAUGAACACGAUCUUCAUCGAGCUCCCACUUGAGCUCAGUUGUGUCAUCUGCGCUGGUAUCAUCGGCACCUGCAACUGUUUGGAAGUAUCUGCUAGCCACGAGGACUCAGCAAUCUCACACCUGCGAGAUCAAAACUAUUUAAGCUUAUGGGUAGGAAAGGGUAGUGAGGUGGAGCUGGAGAAAGCACUAAGCAUAUAUGGUGGCUAACAUACGCAAAUAAGAGCGAGAAGAGAAGCCACACAAAGGUCGUGAAGCUAGAAAUGAUCAAGAAGUGGUCCUGAAACUACUUACAUUCAAACAUAACACAAGAACCGUGUUCACUUCCUGGACUCCGCCGAAAAGAGACCAUCAUGGCAACACACGCGGUUGAUUCAUUUUAAUUAAGUUAAGUGACAAGUUCUCUACAACCGGACAUUAACAAAUUCCCAUCUGCCCAUAACCGCGGGCACGGCUUUUGAAAGUUCAAAACCCUGCAGGGGUGUCCCAACUUAGCCCAUCACAAGCUCUCACGGUCAAUGAAGGAUAUUCCUUCUCCCGAGAAGACCCGAUCAGACUCGGAAUCCCGGUUACAAAACAUCGCGAAAAUGGUAAAACAAGACCAGCAAGACCACCCGCUGUGCCGACAAAUCCUGAUAGGAGCUGCACAUAUCUCAUUCUCAGGGCACACUGGAUAAGCUAAGCAUACAAGAACCAACAUAACCCAAGUUGCCAAGGGACGGCCCCGCAUGGUGCUCUAGUUUGGGAACGCUCAGAGGAGCACUGGCUCGGGGGUUUAAAAUAAAGAUGACCCUUGAGUCUACAGAACCCAAGGGAAAAAGGCAUAGGUGGAAAAUGGUAAAACCAAGGUUGGGCAUUGCUGGAGGAGUUUUAUUCAAGGCGAACUGUCAAGGGGUUCCCAUUGUAACCCAACCACGUAAGGAACGCACAAUCAAGGAGCAUAACAUCGGUAUGACGGAAACUAGGGCGGCAAGAGUGGAACAAAACACCAGGCAUAAGGCCGAGUGAUACGUCUCCAACGUAUCUAUAAUUUUUGAUUGCUGCAUGCUAUAUUAUCUACUGUUUUGGACAAUAUUGGGCUUCAUUAUGCACUUUAAUAUUCUUUUUGGGACUAACCUAUUAACCAGAGGCCCAGCCCAGAAUUGCUGUUUUUUUGCCUAUUUCAGUGUUUCAAAGAAAAGGAAUAUCAAACGGAGUCAAAACGGAAUGAAACCAACUGGAGAAGUUAUUUUUGGAAGGAAAGCUACCGGAAAAACUUGGAGUGCACGUCAGGAAAGGGACGAGGGAGCCACGAGGCAGGGGGGCACGCCCACCCCCCUAGGGCGCGCCCUCCACCCUCGUGGGCCCCUCGUGGCUCCCCUAACGUACUUCUUUCACCCAUAUAUACCCACGUACCCUAAAGCUAUCGAGGGGCAGAAUAGAUCGGGAGUUCCGCCGCCAGAAGCCUCCGUAGCCACCGAAAGCCAAUCUAGACCCGUUCUGGCACCCUGCCGGAGGGGGAAUCCUUCUCCAGUGGCCAUCUUCAUCAUCCCGGUGCUCUCCAUGACGAGGAGGGAGUAGUUCUCCCUCGGGGCUGAGGGUAUGUACCAGUAGAUAUGGUUUUGAUCUCUCUCUCUCUCUCUCUCUCUCUCUCGUGUUCUUGAGGUGGUACGAUCUUGAUGUAUCGCGAGCUUUGCUAUUAUAGUUGGAUCUUAUGAUGUUUUCUCCCCCCUAUACUCUCUUGUAAUGGAUUGAGUUUCCCCUUUGAAGUUAUCUUAUUGGAUUGAGUCUAUAAAGAUUUGAGAACACUUGAUGUAUGUAUUGUCGUGCGUAUCUGUGGUGACAAUGGGAUACCACGUGAAUCACUUGAUGUAUGUUUUGGUGAUCAACUUGCAUGUUCCGCCCAUGAACCUAUGCAUAGGGGUUGGCACACGUUUUCGUCGUGAUUCUCCGGUAGAAACUUUGGGGCACUCUUUGAGGUUCUAUGUGUUGGUUGAAUAGAUGAAUCUGAGAUUGUGUGAUGCAUAUCGCAUAAUCAUACCCACGGAUACUUGAGGUGACAUUGGAGUCUCUAGGUGACAUUAGGGUUUUGGUUAAUUUUUGUCUUAAGGUGUUAUUCUAGUACGAACUCUAGGACUAUUUGUGACACUUAUAGGAAUAGCCCAACGGAUUGAUUGGAAAGAAUAACUUUGUGGUGGUUUCGUACCCUACCAUAAUCUCUUCGUUUGUUCUCCGCUAGUAGUGACUCUGGAGUGACUCUUCGUUGCAUGUUGAGGGAUAGUUGUAUGAUCUAAUUUUGUUAUUAUUGUUGAGGGAACUUGCACUAGUGAAAGUAUGAACCCUAGGCCUUGUUUCAACGCAUUGCAAUACCGUUUACGCUCACUUUUAUCAUUAGUUAGCUUGCUGUUUUUAUAUUUUCAGAUUACUAAUACCUUUAUCUACCAUCCAUACACCACUUGUAUCACCAUCUCUUCGCCGAACUAGUGCACCUAUACAAUUUACCAUUGUAUUGGGUGUGUUGGGGACACAAGAGACUCUUUGUUAUUUGGUUGCAGGGUUGCUUGAAAGAGACCAUCUUCAUCCUACGCCUCCUACGGAUUGAUAAACCUUAGGUCAUCCACUUGAGGGAAAUUUGCUACUGUCCUACAAACCUCUGCACUUGGAGGCCCAACAACGUCUACAAGAAGAAGGUUGUGUAGUAUACAUCAAGCUCUUUUCUGGCGCCAUUGCCGGGGAGGUGAGUGCUUGAAGGUAUAUCUUUAGAUCUUGCAAUCGAAUCUUUUUGUUUCUUGUUUUAGCACUAGUUUAGUUUAUAAAAGAAAACUAUAUAAAAAAUGGAAUUAAUUUUGCCUCAUACGUUUCAUCUUUUAAAUAUCUUUCGUGAGUAUGAUGGAAAGGAAAAUUGUGCCAAAGUGUUAGAAGAAGAAUGCAUAAAAUGUUUGGCACUAAAUCUUUGAAUGAUGAGCAUGAUUGCAAUGUUGUUAGUAUGAACUCCUUGAACAUCCAUAGUACUAAUGAUGAUUGCACUAGUUAUGAUUAAAAUGUCUCCUAUAAACAUGUCAAUUUUUGUGGAGUGCAUUGGGUUUGCAAGUACAUACCAAAUAGGGAAGAUAUAUAUUGCAAGAGGCAUAAGUACUUAGAAACUAAAUUGUUGCAAGAAAGUCUUGAUGAUUGUGCUGAAAAAUUCAAUAUUUUUCACGCCCCUUGUGAACUUUGCAAUGAACAUGGUCAUUUAAAUCUCCAAUGCAAAUUGUUUCAUGACCGAAUCAUAUCCAAAAAUUGUGGUAAUUUGAUUACUCUUGAGCAUCAUAAAGAGCUUAGUCUUCUUUUGUAGUAUGAGGAAAUGAAACAUAUUACCGAGGGUAUUCCAAAGUUUAUUCUUGAUAGAUUUCUUGAUUUUGAUCUAGAGAAGAUUUAUAUGUAUUGUGCGGUGAAUUGCUUUGAAAAUCCUUAUAUUGCCAAUUACACAAAGAAAAGAAAACAAAUAGAAGAUGAAGAGAAUAGUAAUGAAAGGGAAGAGACUUCCCAAUACCCUCCUAUUAUUUCUUAUGAUGAAUCAGGUAACAAGGAGGAGCCUCCUAUUCAACCAAUCUCAUUAAUAAGGAGCUCCAAAAAGAGGAUUGAACCCACACAUGAUGUGGUGAAGAAGAAGAAAAGAAAAAGUAAGAGAGGUAAAAAGAUAUCUCUCCCAAAUAAUGCUGCUCCUAUUACUAUUGUGCCUCAUGAAAAUAUAAUUAUGGAAGAUAAUGAUACUUCUUAUGAUCUUGAAAUCUUUUUGGCACUUGCUUGGAAGAAUAUGAUAAUUGCUAUACUAUUGGUGCUAUCCAUACUAUUAAUGAUGAGAGUGAUUAUGCUUAUGAUAUGAGAAGGCCUAAGCUUGGGGAUGCUAUGUUUGAUGAAGAUGAUGUUUUUGACAAUAUAUUUGCUGCAAUUAAUAUUUGUCCCAAGCUUGGGGAUGCUACGUUUAAUGAAGAUGAUAUUUUUAGUCUCCCAUGUUUUGAUAUGCAAAUUUAUAAUGAUGAUAGCAUGCCUCCUACCUAUGAUGAUUAUUGUGAUGAUACUUAUGCUAUAAAAAGUAGUGAUUAUAUUUAGAAAACUUGUCAUGAUUAUGAUUACUCCUUCUCUGAACAUUACUCUUUUAAUGUGGAAACAAUUUAUUGUAUUCAAGUCCCUUAUGAUACUCCCACUAUUCCGAAUGAGAAGAAUUUUGCUUAUGUGGAGAGUAGUAAAUUUUCUAUGCUUGUAGAUCAUGAAAAGAAUGCUUUAGGUGCUGGUUAUAUUGUUGAAUUCAUUCAUGAUGCUACUUAAAAUUAUUAUGAGGGAGGGACAUAUGCUUGUAGGAAUUGCAAUAAUAUCAAGUUUCCUCUUUAUGUCCUUCAAGUUAUGAAGUUAUGCUUGUUUUGCUUUCCUAUGCAAGUUGAUUCUUGUUGCCGCAAGUUGUUUGCUCACAAAAUCCCUAUGCAUAGGAAUUGGGUUAGACUUAAAUGUGCUAGUCAUAUUCUUCAUGAUGCUCUCUUUAUGUUUCAAUUCUUACCCUUUAUGUGAGCAUCAUUGAAAUCAUCAUGCCUAGCUAGGGGCGUUAAACGAUAGCGCUUGUUGGGAGGCAACCCAAUUUUAUUUUUGUUCCUUGCUUUUUCUCCUGUUUAGUAAUAAAUAAUUUAUCUAGCCUCUGUUAUGAUUGAGUUUUUAUGUUUUAAUUAGUGUUUGUGCCAAGUAGAACCUUUGGGAAGACUUCGGGAAAGUCUUUGCGAUCCUGCUGUAAAAAACAGAAACUUUAGCGCUCACGAGAAUUGCUGCCAUUUUUAUUUGGAGAGGGAUAUUUAGUUAAUUAUUUUUGAAGAUGAUUAAUAGAUAAAUUCCGUAGGUCCAGCAAUUUAUUUUAGAAUUUUAGGAGUUCCAGAAGUAUAUGUUUGAUCCAUAUUACUACAGACUGUUCUGUUUUUGACAGAUUCUGUUUUCGAUGUGUUGUUUGCUUAUUUUGAUGAAUCUAUGAGUAGUAUCGGAGGGUAUGAACCAUAUAUAAGUUGGAAUACAGUAGAUAUUACACUAAUAUGAAUUUAUAAUGAGUUCACAACAGUACCUAAGUGGUGAUUUAUUUUCUUAUACUAAUGGAGCUUACGAGUUUUCUGUUAAGUUUUGUGUUGCGAAGUUUUCAAGUUUUGGGUAAAGAUUCGAUGGACUAUGGAAUAAGGAGUGGCAAGAGCCUAAGCUUGGGGAUGCCCAAGGCACCCCAAGGUAAUAUUCAAGGACAACCAAAAGCCUAAGCUUGGGGAUGCCCCGGAAGGCAUCCCAUCUUUCGUCUUCGUUCAUCGGUUACUUUAGUUGGAGCUAUAUUUUUAUUCGCCACAUGAUAUGUGUUUUGCUUGGAGCGUCAUUUUAUUUUAUUUAGUUUUGCUUGAUGUUUGAAUAAAAUACCAAGAUCUGAAAUUCUUAAAUGUUAGAGAGUCUUCACAUAGUUGCAUAAUUAUUCGACUACUCAUUGAUCUUCACUUAUAUCUCUCGGAGUAGUUUGUCAUUUGGUCUAGUGCUUCACUUAUAUCCUUUUAGAGCACGGUGCUGGUUUUAUUUUAUAUAAAUAGAUGAACUCUCAUGCUUCACUUAUAUUAUUUUGAGAGUCUUUAAUAGCAUGGUAAUUUGCUUAAAUAAUCCUAAUAUGCUAGGUAUUCAAGAUUAGUAAAAAAAAUCUUAUGAGUGUUUUGAAUACUAAGAGAAGUUUGAUGCUUGAUGAUUGUUUCGAGAUAUGGAGGUAAUAAUAUCAAAGUCGUGCUAGUUGAGUAGUUGUGAAUUUGAGAAAUUCUUGUGUUGAAGGUUGCAAGUCUCGUAGCAUGCACGUAUGGUAAACAUUGUGUAACAAAUUUGAAACAUGAGGUGUUAUUUGAUUGUCUUCCUUAUGACUGGCGGUCAGUGACGAGCGAUGGUCCUUUCCUACCAAUCUAUCCCCCUAGGAGCAUGCGCGUAGUGCCAAGGUUUUUGAUGACUUGUACAUAUUUGCAAUAAGUAUGUGAGUUCUUUAUGACUAAUGUUGAGUCCAUGGAUUAUACGCACUCUCACCCUUCCAUCCUUGCUAGCCUCUUCAGUACCGUGCAUUGCCGUUUCUCACAUUGAGAGUUGGUGCAAACCUCGCCGGUGCAUACAAACCCCAUGAUAUGAUACGCUCUUUCACACAUAAACCUCCUUAUACAUUCCUCAAAACAUCCACCAUACCUACCUAUUAUGGCAUUUCCAUAGCCAUUCUGAGAUAUAUUUCCAUGCAACUUUCCACCAUUCUGUUUAUCAUCCAUGCAUCAUCAUUGUCAUACUGCUUUGCAUGAUCAUGUAGUUGACAUAGUAUUUGUGGCAAAGCCACCGUUCAUAAUUUUUCAUACAUGUCACUCUUGAUUCAUCGCAAUCCCGAUACACCGCCGGAGGCAUUCAUAUAGAGUCAUACUUUGUUCUAGUAUCGAGUUGUAAUCUUUGAGUUGUAAAUAAAUAGAAGUGUGAUGAUCAUCAUUAAUAGAGCAUUGUCCAAAAAAAGGUCAAAUAAAAAAAGGGAAAGGCCAAAAAAAAUAAAAAAAUAAAAGGGACAAUGCUACUAUCCUUUUUCCACACUUGUGCUUCAAAGUAGCACCAUGAUCUUUAUGAUAUAGAGUCUCUUGUUUUGUCACUUUCAUAUACUAGUGGGAAUUUUCAUUAUAGAACUUGGCUUGUAUAUUCCAACAAUGGGCCUCCUCAAGUGCCCUAGGUCUUCGUGAGCAAGCAAGUUGGAUGCACACCCACUUAGUUUCUUUUGUUGAGCUUUCAUACAUUUAUAGCUCUAGUGCAUCCGUUGCAUGGAAAUCCCUACUCCUUGCAUUAACAUCAAUCGAUGGGCAUCUCCAUAUCCCAUUGAUUAGCCUCGUUGUUGUGAGACUUUCUCCUUUUUUGCCUUCUCCACAUAACCCCCAUCAUCAUAUUCUAUUCCACCCAUAGUGCUAUGUCCAUGGCUCGCGCUCAUAUAUUGCGUGAAAGUUUAUAGGUUUGAGAUUACUAAAGUAUGAAACAAUUGCUUGGCUUGUCAUCGGGGUUGUGCAUGAUGAGAGCAUUCUUGUGUGACGAAAAUGGAGCAUGACUAAACUAUAUGAUUUUGUAGGGAUGAACUUUCUUUGGCCAUGUUAUUUUGAGAGGACAUAAUUGCUUAGUUAGUAUGCUUGAAGUAUUAUUAUUUUUAUGUCAAUAUGAACUUUUGUCUUGAAUCUUUUGGAUCUGGACAUUCAUACCACAAUUAAGAAGAUUUACAUUGAAAUUAUGCCAAGUAGCACUCCGCAUCAAAAAUUCAUUUUUAUCAUUUACCUACUCGAGGACGAGCAGGAAUUAAACUUGGGGAUGCUGGAUACGCCUCCAAUGUAUCUAUAAUUUUUUAUUGCUCCAUGCUAUAUUAUCUACUAUUUUGGACAAUAUUGGGCUUUAUUAUCCACUUUUAUAUUUUUUUUGGGACUAACCUAUUAACCGGAGGCCCAGCCCAGAAUUGAUGUUUUUUUCCUUUUUCAGUGUUUUGAAGAAAAGUAAUAUCAAACGGAGUUGAAACGGAAUGAAACCAACUCGAGAAGUUAUUUUUGGAAGGAAAGCUACCGGAAAAACUUGGAGUGCACGUCAGGAAAGGAACGAGGGAGCCACGAGGCAGGGGGCACCCCCUCCACCCUCGUGGGCCCCUAGUGGCUCCCCUGACGCACUUCUUUCACCCAUAUAUAUACCCACGUACCCUAAAACUAUCGAGGGGCAGAAUAGAUCGGGAGUUCCGCCGCCAGAAGCCUCCGUAGCCACCGAAAGCCAAUCUAGACCCGUUUCGGCACCCUGCCGGAGGGGGAAUCCUUCUCCGGUGGCCAUCUUCAUCAUCCCGGUGUUCUCCAUGACGAGGAGAGAGUAGUUCUUCCUCAGGGCUGAGGGUAUGCACCAGUAGCUAUGUGUUUGAUCUCUCUCUCUCUCUCUCGUGUUCUUGAGGUGGUACGAUCUUGAUGUAUCGCGAGCUUUGCUAUUAUAGUUGGAUCUUAUGAUCUUUUCUCCCCCCUCUACUCUCUUGUAAUGUAUUGAGUUUCCCCUUUGAAGUUAUCUUAUCGGAUUGAGUCUUUAAAGAUUUGAGAACACUUGAUGUAUGUCUUGCCGUGCGUAUCUGUGGUGACAAUGGGAUACCACGUGAAUCACUUGAUGCAUGUCUUGGUGAUCAACUUGCGGGUUCCGCCCAUGAACCUAUCCAUAGGGGUUGGCACACGUUUUCGUCGUGAUUCUCCGGUAGAAACUUUGGGGCAAUCUUUAAGGUUCUUUGUGUUGGUUGAAUAGAUGAAUCCGAGAUUGUGUGAUGCAUAUCGUAUAAUCAUACCCACGGAUACUUGAGGUGACAUUGGAGUAUCUAGGUGACAUUAGGGUUUUGGUUGAUUUGUGUCUUAAGGUGUUAUUCUAGUAUGAACUCUAGGGCUGUUUGUGACACUUAUAGGAAUACCCCACGGAUUGAUUGGAAAGAAUAACUUUGAGGUGGUUUCGUAUCCUACCAUAAUCUCUUCGUUUGUUCUCCGCUAUUAGUGACUUUGGAGUGACUCUUUGUUGCAUGUUUAGGGAUAGUUAUAUGAUCCAAUUAUGUUAUUAUUGCUGAGGGAACUUGCACUAGUGAAAGUAUGAACCCUAGGCCUUGUUUCAACGCAUUGCAAUACCAUUUACACUCACUUUUAUCAUUGGUUACCUUGCUGUUUUUAUAUUUUCAGAUUACCAAUACCUUUAUCUACCAUCCAUAUACCACUUAUAUCACCAUCUCUUCGCCGAACUAGUGCAUCUAUACAAUUUACCAUUGUAUUGGGUGUGUUGGGGACACAAGAGACUCUUUGUUAUUUGGUUGCAGGGUUGCUUGAGAGAGACCAUCUUCAUCCUACGCCUCCUACGGAUUGAUAAACAUUAGGUCAUCCACUUGAGGGAAAUUUGCUAGUGUCCUACAAACCACUGCACUUGGAGGCCCAACAACAUCUACAAAAAGAAGGUUGUGUAGUAGACAUCACCGAGCCUUCCACCCUUUACCAAGUAUAUAGGUACAUUAAAGUAAACAAGAUAUAAUAAUGAUAUCCCAACAAUAAACAUGUUCCAGCAAGGAACAAACUCCAUCUUCACCUGCAACUAGCAACGCUAUAAGAGAGGCUGAGCAAAGCGGUAACAUAGCCAAACAACGGUUUGCUAGGAAGGUGGAUUAGAGGCUUGACAUGGCAAUAUGGGAGGCGUGAUAUAGCAAGUGGUAGGUAUCGCGGCAUAGCAAAAGAGCGAGCAACUAGCAAGCAAAGAUAGAAGUGAUUUUGAGGGUAUGGUCAUCUUGCCUGAGAUCCCGCAAGGAAGAAGAACGAGUCCAUGAAGAAGACAAGCGGACGAAGUCGAACGAAUCCUCACAAACGCGACGUAAUCGGAAAUAACCCGAAGAAGCAACACCGGAAAGUAGCAAACAACAUGGUAAACAACCAUCACAUAAUCAUGGCAUGAGCACAAUCAAGUAUGAUGCAGGUCCGGUUUAAUGAUUCAUGGCAUGGCAUGGCAAAGUGCACAAACAAUACUACAAAUUAAGUGGAGCUCAAUAUGCAACGAGGUGCAUAUUAA